RNA transcript from Juglans microcarpa x Juglans regia, 886 nucleotides. RefSeq lists it as uncharacterized. The transcript has 2 exons. The record is from RefSeq and is a predicted model, not a curated record. Lineage: Eukaryota; Viridiplantae; Streptophyta; Magnoliopsida; Fagales; Juglandaceae.
AAAAUGUCCAGCCAAAACAAAGAAAAUAGGUGUAAGCAAAUGGUCAACCACACAAGCGGAAGGACUUCGUUUGUUGUACUAAUGGAAAGAAAGAAGGACAAUAAUCUAAUUGAUUUCUACAAAGAUGUGCAUUGGUCGAAUAAAAAAGAUAGAUUUAUCACACAAACUACAGAAGACAAUUAUGUGAGUAAAUCCUUGUUUAUUCAUAAGUAGCUGGUUGAUUCAUUAUAUUUUUAACUGUUUAGUGUAUGAAAAGUUCAUUGUCUAGUGUUAGCACAUAAGUAUGGAACUUAGUGGACAAUCUUUAUGGUUGUAUUAUGUUCAUGGUUUAAGUUGUUUUGGCCACAGAAUCAGAUGGUUCAAUUGAUGAAUGCCAAAGACCCAGACGCUCUCACAGAUGACGCAAUAGCAACCAUAUUUAGGGUGGUAUUGGGACAUAGGUCAAGGUAUAAUAGAUGGCUAGGCCACUAUGUUAUGCCCGAAUCUACUAAAGUGGUUGGAGUAUCAAAUGAGAAGUAUGAACGGCUUGCUGAGGAGAAUGACGCAAAUAGGAAAAAUGUAGAGUAUUACCAAAAUCGAGUUGAAGAGAUUGAAGGUGGUUUCAGGAUGAUGAAGGAGCAUAUGCGGGAUUAUGAGCAACGUGUAAACAUGAGAAUGUCAGACGUGGAGAUGGAAUUAGAGUCUCAGAGAGAGACUCAAACUGCAGUUCCUUAGCUGACAUUUCUGCAUGCCAACAGUUACCAAUUUUGUAUUUUGACCUACACUUUUGCUGCACUUUUGAUGAAGGGGUGUUGGGGAUGCUGAUAAUAUAGUAAUACUUUUGAAAAUUGAUUAAUUAUAUUCUGAUCUUGGUGCAGAGGGUCAAGGAUGGGAGGUAAAUUGGUUU